This 72-nucleotide transfer RNA is filed under the name Camelus bactrianus (Bactrian camel). It matches the Rfam family "tRNA". Rfam says of the family: Transfer RNA (tRNA) molecules are approximately 80 nucleotides in length. RNAcentral also lists the same sequence under 2 other names. Lineage: Eukaryota; Metazoa; Chordata; Mammalia; Artiodactyla; Camelidae. The record is from Rfam by way of RNAcentral.
GAGGGUAUAGCUUAGUGGUAGAGUGUGUGCAUAGCAUGCACAAGAUCCUGGGUUCAAUCCCUAGUACUUCCA